This 408-nucleotide ribosomal RNA is filed under the name bacterium enrichment culture clone LiUU-17-718. RNAcentral's name for it is "bacterial SSU rRNA". It matches the Rfam family "Bacterial small subunit ribosomal RNA", at positions 509 to 916 of the family's 1533-position model. The record is from RNAcentral.
CAGCCGCCGCGGUAAUACGUAGGUGCCGAGCGUUGUCCGGAUUUAUUGGGCGUAAAGCGAGCGCAGGCGGUUAGAUAAGUCUGAAGUUAAAGGCUGUGGCUUAACCAUAGUACGCUUUGGAAACUGUUUAACUUGAGUGCAAGAGGGGAGAGUGGAAUUCCAUGUGUAGCGGUGAAAUGCGUAGAUAUAUGGAGGAACACCGGUGGCGAAAGCGGCUCUCUGGCUUGUAACUGACGCUGAGGCUCGAAUGCGUGGGGAGCAAACAGGAUUAGAUACCCUGGUAGUCCACGCCGUAAACGAUGAGUGCUAGGUGUUAGACCCUUUCCGGGGUUUAGUGCCGCAGCUAACGCAUUAAGCACUCCGCCUGGGGAGUACGACCGCAAGGUUGAAACUCAAAGGAAUUGACGG